CGGCGGCCCGCUCACCCCCGGAACCCCGCCGCCCGCUCGGGCGCCUCUACUUGCCGGUGGUCUCCGCGUGCCUCCCUGGGGGACGGGGGUGGGAAUAGAAGCUUUUUUUGUAAUGAGAAUAGAGGCGCUCCCGGAAGUCCCCUCCCCUAGGGCACGUUAGGGGCGGGCUCCCCUGGUGCCUGAAAUUCCACUGUUCCAGAUAUUCUUUGGAAGGGUAGCGUGGAGGGGUGGGGAGGUGCCGUCUUAAACUUUUAUUGGAUAUUUUAACAGCGAGGAUGCUGUUAAAAUAGUCAGUGCUCAAUAAAUUUGUUAAAUGACUGACUGAAACGUGCCUGGGAAGGGACCUGAAAGGAGUAGGCAGUCUUUCAUUCCCUCUCUCAGACAGGCUUUUCGUAGUGCUCAUUUGCCAGGCCCAACCCGAAGGUGACUCAGAGCCAACAGUCAUACAGCCAGGGCGGGAGUUGUGAAAGGCUAGUUUUCCCUGCCAUGCUUUGCCUUUUAUUAAUCACUGGACAGCUGAGCCUCCUUUCUCCAGGAUGUCUGCCUUGACUUUUUGGGUGAACUGUUACAGGCAAGCUUUGGCCUUCCUGGACCUCUGCAGUUACCCAGAGAACAACCAAGAGAAUUUCCAAGGUGCUCCUUCUGACAAGUGUUCACAGGUGGCCCCCCGAAGGAGUUAACGACAGAAGGCCCAGGAAACCAUGACCUAGCACCCCCAAAGUCCUAGGAGCUUCUGCCUUUACUCCUGUGGGUUUGGCUGUUAGGUCGACAGUGGGAGAGAUGGAGAGAGGGCCUUUCUGCACACUGGGUGGACCCUGCCCUCCAGCAUACCCGUUGGCCGGAAACCGAAGCUGAUGAGAGUCUCUGCAGAUCUGAUGAUGGUUAAGUUCAGCAUCAUCUCAAUAUUUAAGCACAGAUCACCAUCGGGAAGGCAGAAGAAGCAGAUCCCAAUCCCUUAUCAGUCUUCCCAACGGGUUUCUAUUGCAUGCACAAUAAAGUUCAAACUCCGUA
Molecule: long non-coding RNA, 1011 nt
Organism: Pteropus alecto (black flying fox)
Lineage: Eukaryota; Metazoa; Chordata; Mammalia; Chiroptera; Pteropodidae
Exons: 4
Source: RefSeq, a predicted model, not a curated record